Elaeis guineensis (African oil palm) is the source of this 607-nucleotide non-coding RNA. NCBI's taxonomy places the organism in Eukaryota, Viridiplantae, Streptophyta, Magnoliopsida, Arecales, Arecaceae. The record is from RefSeq and is a predicted model, not a curated record.
UCCAUAGGAAAUAACGGUCUACCCACCGUCGUCGCCGGGAAGCUAAGAACUUCCCUGACCAACCAUGGAGUCCACGUUCUCAUCUUCUCCUCCUUAUUCCCCUUUCUCUCUUUGUUUUAGCUUCGAUUAUGCUUCGAAUCCACUCCCAUCGUGGCUUUUCCGCCCGUCCUUUCCCUCCUCCUCGUCUUCUCCGACCGCCAACGCCCGGUUCUUCUUUCUCCACCAAAUUCCCGAACCCGAUCCCUGUUCUGUCCUCCGAUUCGAUGGAUAUCGCCACCGGAGAUCUCUUCCGCCCCUGCAAGGCUUCCCUUGGCGAUGGCGAUCAAGGGACCGUCGGAGAUGGCGGCGGUUGCGGGCGGUGCCGAUGACGAUGACCAAUUGCUCCCAGCCGUUCUCUUCUUAUCAGUGAUUUAGGCUGGGUUUCAUCCCAUCAAGAAGAAAAGAUUGUUGCGGCUUGCUAUACCGAUUCAAAGUCCACAUUCUAAAUUCAUCAUUUUCUUUAAGAAUGUCGCUGAUGCUGCAUGUUUUGUAAGUAACAGAGGAUCAUUGUUUUUGAGCUUUUACUAAUCUUGGCUAGGCUUUGUUCUAUCAGGCCUUCAUCUGAUGA